RNAcentral lists this long non-coding RNA (704 nucleotides) under Lactuca sativa (garden lettuce). RNAcentral describes it as "long non-coding RNA (LSAT_LNC009271)". The record is from RNAcentral. Lineage: Eukaryota; Viridiplantae; Streptophyta; Magnoliopsida; Asterales; Asteraceae.
CUACCCGCACCACCACCUCCACUCUAAAAAUAUACCGGAUAAUGGAGUUGGGCCACCAUUGACCACAAGGCAAACCGGCGGAGCCACCAGAAUGCUGUCGGAACUGCUUGAAUCAUCGAAAAUCAUGUUGGAAUCCUCGAACUAUCGACGGAGCCACCGGAUCGCAAUCGAAAAUGCUGAAAGUACCGGCGAAUUUAUGACUUCGCUCACAAUGUCAUGGCAAAGCUGCACCAUAUAGAACCUGAGAAAUUUCAACGAUGUUUAUUAACUCUGAGGAGGUAAUUCCUUUAGUUUUCUGAUUUUCUUACUAGUGACAGGAACCAACGACUCUUGGUACCAAAUUUCUGAUAUAUUACUUUGUAUCAUUUCAUCGUUCUAGCUUGAUGUGAUGAAGAUGUACUUCUAUUCUUACGCACGGGUAAAGGUAUUGAAGCAACAUCAUUGAUUAGAGUUUAGUAUUAAGUGCUAGUCCCCAAAGAAGGAAGCUUCGUCGGAGAGUUGCUUAUCGCCUGCCUCCAAGGAAGUUGAGCGGGAUGAGGUGACUGCAAUACGGGAAUGGUGAGACUAGAAUGCAGUUAAGCAGUGGAAUUGACAGAUUCAAUGUCUUCGAUGAAAGAAGUUGUGGUCAGAAUUGCAGAUGGAUGUCGUCGAUGAAAGAAGCGGUGGUCGGAGAUGGAGAAGGAGGCUAGGCUCGACUGCAACUG